AGUGAACGUUGGCGGCGUGGAUUAGGCAUGCAAGUCGAGCGAUCGUAGCAAUACGGGAGCGGCAAACGGGGUAGGAAUACAUCGGAACGUACCUUUUGGUUGAGAAUAGCGUUGGGAAACUGACGGUAAUACUCAAUAAAGUCGAGAGACCAAAGGUUUACUGCCGGAAGAGCGGCCGAUGCGAUAUUAGGUAGUUGGUGGGGUAAUGGCCUACCAAGCCUGAGAUGUCUAGGGGGGUGUGAGAGCAUGGCCCCCACCACUGGGACUGAGAUACUGCCCAGACACCUACGGGUGGCUGCAGUCGAGGAUCUUCGUCAAUGGGCGAAAGCCUGAACGAGCGACGCCGCGUGCGGGAUGAAGGCCCUUGGGUUGUAAACCGCUGUCAGGGGGGAUGAAACCGUAAGGUUGACAGAGCCCCAGAGGAAGCACGGGCUAAGUUCGUG
RNAcentral lists this ribosomal RNA (443 nucleotides) under uncultured bacterium. RNAcentral's name for it is "bacterial SSU rRNA". It matches the Rfam family "Bacterial small subunit ribosomal RNA", at positions 29 to 507 of the family's 1533-position model. The record is from RNAcentral.